CUACGGGUUGCACCAGUGAGGAAUAUUGCACAAUGGGGGGAACCCUGAUGCAGCAACGCCGCGUGGAGGAUGACGCAUUUCGGUGUGUAAACUCCUUUUAUAUGUCAAGAAAAUGACGGUAGCAUAUGAAUAAGCACUGGCUAACUCCGUGCCAGCAGCCGCGGUAAUACGGAGGGUGCAAGCGUUACUCGGAAUCACUGGGCGUAAAGGGCGCGUAGGCGGGUUGGAAAGUCAGGUGUGAAAUCCUACAGCUUAACUGUAGAACUGCACUUGAAACUUCUAAUCUAGAGUAUGGGAGGGGGAGAUGGAAUUAGUGGUGUAGGGGUAAAAUCCGUAGAUAUCACUAGGAAUACCUAAAGCGAAGGCGAUCUCCUGGAACAUUACUGACGCUAAGGCGCGAAAGCGUGGGGAGCAAACAGGAUUAGAUACCCGGGUAGUC
This 439-nucleotide ribosomal RNA is filed under the name uncultured bacterium. Its description in RNAcentral is "partial 16S ribosomal RNA". It matches the Rfam family "Bacterial small subunit ribosomal RNA", at positions 339 to 795 of the family's 1533-position model. The record is from RNAcentral.